GGUCUCUUGGUGCAAUCAGGUAUUGGUGUCUCAAAGGAAUUGUGGGAGUCCCAAUAUAUCCAGUUAUUUCCUCCAAUGUCGGUGUGAGUUCAAAGUCCAAGAAGUGGAAGAAAUUUUGAGUCGGGUCCCAAAAUGUGAUUAAUGCUUUUAUGAUAUCUCCCCUAGGGUUAAUUUUCAACAAACCGUUGAAACCUCCCAGAUUCGUUUGACCCUUUUUUGCCCUGCUUCCCCCAGAUCUUUCCACCAUAGUCGCAAC
Molecule: long non-coding RNA, 256 nt
Filed under: Nicotiana benthamiana
Lineage: Eukaryota; Viridiplantae; Streptophyta; Magnoliopsida; Solanales; Solanaceae
Description: long non-coding RNA (NBEN_LNC022764)
Source: RNAcentral